RNAcentral lists this transfer RNA (75 nucleotides) under Clostridioides difficile. RNAcentral's name for it is "tRNA-OTHER". It matches the Rfam family "tRNA". From Rfam's summary of the family: Transfer RNA (tRNA) molecules are approximately 80 nucleotides in length. The record is from RNAcentral. Lineage: Bacteria; Bacillati; Bacillota; Clostridia; Peptostreptococcales; Peptostreptococcaceae.
GCGGGUGUAGCUCAAUGGUAGAGUUCUGGCCUUCCCAAGCCAGCUGUGAGGGUUCGAUCCCCUUCACCCGCUCCA